UACGGAGGGGGCUAGCGUUGUUCGGAAUUACUGGGCGUAAAGCGCACGUAGGCGGCUUUGUAAGUUAGAGGUGAAAGCCCAGGGCUUAACCCUGGAAUUGCCUUUAAGACUGCAUCGCUCGAAUUGUGGAGAGGUGAGUGGAAUUCCGAGUGUAGAGGUGAAAUUCGUAGAUAUUCGGAAGAACACCAGUGGCGAAGGCGGCUCACUGGACUGGUAUUGACGCUGAGGUGCGAAAGCGUGGGGAGCAAACAGG
RNAcentral lists this ribosomal RNA (253 nucleotides) under uncultured bacterium. RNAcentral's name for it is "partial 16S ribosomal RNA". It matches the Rfam family "Bacterial small subunit ribosomal RNA", at positions 524 to 776 of the family's 1533-position model. The record is from RNAcentral.